This is a long non-coding RNA of Manis pentadactyla (Chinese pangolin), 6032 nucleotides long. RefSeq lists it as uncharacterized. The transcript has 4 exons. Lineage: Eukaryota; Metazoa; Chordata; Mammalia; Pholidota; Manidae. The record is from RefSeq and is a predicted model, not a curated record.
AACAAACAAAAACAUAGACGGGGUUAAAAAUGGUGAGCUUUUCUUUUUACCAGUUUUUAUCGCUCUCUUUUUUUAAAGGUAGUGUCCGAGAACACCCCUCCACCCCUCCAGUAUUUCCCACUCCCGGAGACAUUUCUGGCGAAUGGCAAAGUCCAUGACCCCUGCUCCAUCUCACCUCCUUGGAGGUGAGCCACAACUAGCCUCACUGCCCUCCCUCAGAAAUGCUUUGCAAGCAAGGAGGGACCAGGCUCAGGGAAGAGGCCUGGGAUGUUCUGAAGUCCCAGAUCUCGCAGGGCCUGAGCAGUAGGGAGAAGUCUGAGGAGCAUGCUUUGUGAAAGGAGUAACACAGAGCCAUCUUCUGGAAAACUCCCAGGACUAUGCCACAGUGGAGUCCCAUUUGGGGAUGAGGUCAAGAACUGGGUGUUGCCCAGGCUGGAGGCUAGGCCGCCUUCCCUGAGUGCUCUCUCCCAGGGUCUACAUUGUGUCUGCACAUACCCAGGGUCCUUGGGGGGCUAUUGCUCAGGCCUCCAGGGCUAGGGAGGAGACCAAAAGUGGGAAGAUGCCUCCUUUCAGCCCUGGCUAAGAGAAUCUGCAUUCUGUGCCCUUACAGGAGGAUGUGAAGGUGUUUGAGGCACUGUGCUGUUCCAGCUCUGAGCCCCUGGGGGUGGGGGACGGGUUCACCAUCAUCUCCCAGUCCUGCCAUACCAGUCCCCCAGCUACCCCUGUGUGUCCUCCCCAACCUCCAAGACAGGUGUCCAGGGACAUUGGUGUGAUCAUCCCCAUGUGGUCCAAUUAGGCCCCUCUGAGCUCAGGACCCUGGCACCUUGUCCAUGUGGGACAGUCUCGAGACAGGUAAUGUCCUUAAACAAAAAUUAACCUUGAGACUAAGAAAGAGCCUUUUGUCAGCUGCCCUUGGCUUUCCUCUCUGAGGCUGUGGGAGUAAGGGUGUUUGAGCAAAGAAAGGAAGUGAAAGGAAACAGCCAAAAAUCAAAAUGAAACUGACCAACACGUACGUGUUUGCUGCUGAGACCUGAGGUCCAGGGAGGGGCAGCCCCACUCUCCCUGCUGAGGCUACUGGGGUAGCCUUCAGGUGUCAGGGGAACCUGCAGGCCUGCCGACCCCAAGAUCCCUGUGUCCACCCAAUAACCAUACCAGUACUGCAGCCCUCCAGGUGGGAGCUCUCCCCCAAUAGGCAAAAGAGGAUCAAUAGGCAAAAGUGGAUGCAAGACUCUCUGGGGCCUGGGAGAACCCUGACCCUCGCCCAGCCCACCCACCUGGGAGGGGCUAGAAGCCUGCCUCCUCCCUCGACAGCUCCUACCAUCACCAUGCCUCUCUACGGGUCUUAAGGAGUCCAUGCCCCUCUUGGGGGAUGGGUGGGAACAGUUUUUGGGUGGCACUGGUGUGGACUCUGUGAGGGAGUGAUACCCUGGGUGAUGCCUUAGGAAGGAUGGGACAUGACAGGGGAACCUGCAGGUUUGAGACAUCUGUUCAAGUGUGGGCAGUGCAGGGGAAGGAACAGACUCCUUGGAGCAGGGACUGAGAUAGGGUAUGGAGAUCUGAGAGAAGGGGAGGGGCUAGUGAGGGGGUGGAAGGAGGGAGAGCGAGCCUCAGAGAGUGGGAAAGGGCUUGGGUGGGGAGAGGGAGCUUCAGGGCCCAAGUGAUGUGGACAGGAGGCCCUUCUCUUGCAUCCUGUUCCUGACUGCGACUGCUAUGGCUAUCCAUGCCCCUCCCACCCCAAUAUACCUGCUGGGAGGGACGCAGGAGACCCUGGUUCCUCCCCAGGGCUUGUACCCAACUGGAGUGCCCCAUUGGUCAAGUUCCCUCUGGCCUGCAUUUCGCCAAGUUCAAGGGUGGCCCAAGCCUGCAGGCCCCUCGCACCCAGAACCUGGGGCCGAGUGGACCAACAACCAAGCAGUCCUGGUCACUCACAUUCGGAGAGGAAGCAUGGAGAGGAGAAGCGGCGCCUCCCUUCCGGGGUGUACACUCACCGCUUCCUACCCUGCGGCGACCCCCGACCUAGCCUGGCGGCGCAGCCUGGCGGCGCAGCCCGGCGGCGCGGGAACCCUACGCAAAGCAAAGCGGAGAAAAGUGGUGGUGACACAUGAAACAGAGACAAAGCAAGGAGGAUGGGCCACAGCUACUAAGGGAAGGAAUGCUCAGGGACACCUCAGUAGCAAAGCACCCACUUCAUCAACUAUCUGGAGACUGAUCUGGUUCUGUUUCGUUUUCAACAAAAGAAUGUAACCUAAAUCUAACAGGGUUAGCUUGUUUAUUUCAAGAAUGCCAGUCAAUUCCCAAACAUCAGCCUGGCCCUGGCAGCCUUGAAGCCACACAGGUUACAGUGCCAGCUGCUCCACUGUCCCCCUGCAGAUUCACUCAUCUGAUUCAUCUGCCAAAUGGAAAGUCCCCAAACACCUGCCUGGCCACAUCACACCUCUCAAAAAACCUUCCACUGACUCCUACCAUCUAUGGUAUCAUGUCCAGAUACAGCAGCAGUAUGAUGUUCUGGUAUCCAGUGAGGAGGGUAGACUGGAUGGGGGAUUGUCACAAGAGACCAUCACUCAAGCCAGUUGACUGACUUAAGUAGGAAGGAUGAUCCUUGGGGACAAAAAUCUCUGAGAGUAACCCUGCCCCUUUUGAGAUGCUUCUUGAGUGGGAGGUGUCAUGGCCUUUUACAGCCCAUGAGGGUUAAAAUCAGACAUUCCCCACCCCUUCUCCCAGUAUGGAGACCCUUCAGCUGGCUCUGGCUUUGCCAUCUCACUCUAAGAGGGCAUUGAAUUUCUUCAUGUCCUAAAAUGCCACUCUAUGGGGGGUGGCGUAGGGUAUCAGGGUUAGGAAGCCAGAGGGAUGAGCACAGGGGCUUCUGGUGGUCAGAGGGCUUCAUAGACUCCCAAGAGAAUCCCACAGUUUGCAGAGAGAGUGGAGACAGCCAGGCCGAGGAGAACCAGUUAAGGUCAGUCCAGUGCUCACCAUUUCCAGGUGAGUGACUGUGAGGAAGGUGGUUGCUGUGGACGGAAUGUCUGUGUCCCCCUGACAAAUCCAUAUGUUGAAACUCUAAUCCCAAUGUGAUACUGUUUGGAGGUGGGGUCUUUGGGAGGUAAUUAGGCCAUAAGAUGGACCUCAUGAAUGGGACCAGUGCCCUUAUAAGAGGCCAGCCAGCCAGCUAGUUUUCUUUCUGUCAUGUGGGGCUAACAAGAAGGUAGAAAUCAGUAACGCAGAAGGGGCCUUUAACCAGAACCUGACCAGAUCAUGCUGGCAUCAUGAUCUCGAAAUUCCAGUCUCCAGAACUGUGAGAAAUAAAUUUCUGUCACUGAUCCACCACCCACUAUGGCCCUUUGUUGUAGCAGCCUGGGCUGGCUGAGCUGGUGAUGGCGAUCAUCCCACAGAGGUGCAUGUCUGCAGUGUGCCAGCAGCUAUCCCUCAUGCUGACAUUCACUGUCGCAUUUAAUUUCCUCAAUGAUCCUAUGAGGUAGGUACUAAUAUCUCCAUUUUAUAAACAAAGAAGUGAAGUGCCCAGAGAAGUCAGAGAGCUGCCCAAGUCACACAGCUGGGGUGUGAUGGAGCAGGGACCCAGAGCCCAGAGGUUAGCACUGAACUUAGAGGUUUGGACAGGGGUGUCUGACAUGAGAGUCUGCAUUCUCCCUCCAGUGUACCCCCAUCUCUGAGCUAAAAAGUGAAGACCCAGCCAGAUGCCAGGUCCAUAGGAAAGCACAUGACCCAUCUGUCGCCAGCCCUCUGUCACCUCUGCCUCAGACUUUGGGUUCAGCACCAGAAAUAGUUCCUUCAAGCCCAGGAGUGACCCGGGCUGCAAUCAACUUCCUUGGCUUGUUGCAGUCACUGUUUGGAAAGCUAGAAGCCUGGGGGAAACUGAGGCUUUGGGGAAAACUAAGCAAGCCACACUGUUCCAGGCACUGAGGAUAUAGCAGUAAACAAAACAAAGAUCUUGUCUUCAAUGUCUUCUAACAUUCUAAGGGGAUCCCAGCACCCUGCCAAGUCUGUAUUCUCCUCUGCCUCAAGAGCAGGAGUCUCCUGACCAUUGAGUCUUCCAGACAUUGCCUCUUCACAGGAGCGCUUCCUGGCUGGCCGCCCUAGCCUGUCUCUUCCUCCAUUGAACACUCACAGGGCCUGACGGCUAAACAGUUCAAGUGGCCACAUAGUUUCCUGGUUUUAGGUUUCAGGUUUGUUUACACCCAGAGAGCAGGGGACCCGUCUUCCCUCCGCCACCUCCUUUCAUAGAAGUAGAAGAGGGUUAGGCAUGUAGCCCAGACUUUCAAGAAUAUUUCUUCUGAUGAUGGAGACACUGCAACCUUACCAUGGCAUAUUUCCUAUGUGUCCUGGUUCUUAAAUAUAUCAUUCAUUCAGUCAAGGAAAAAUAAGAUUAAGACUACAGGAAAAGACUUGCGGGUCAUCCACUAACAGACGAGAGUUCCAGCUGGGAAACAGAGGAGAUACCCCAGGGAAGUGGAGACAAGGAAUGCCACACACUCAACAGAAAUCUGAUUGAGAAAGGAGGGAGAAAUGUGGGAUGGUAGCCAAAGAAAGUAGAGUUGAGGAAGGACAGGAAUCAGAUUAAGAGGAAAGAGCCCGGGAUAGGAGGAAUGGCAAGAUUGAGCUGGAAGGGCCCAGAGAAGGCGGCAGGUAGAUCCCAGAGGAGGCCUCCUGCUCUCCCAUGGGCUGGAAGAGGAAAGGGUGGGUGAUUUUCCAGAGGAGCCCUGGGCAGUUUGAGGGGGUGCAGGUCAGAAAGCCAGGACCUCUUGGAUUUGGAGGUGGUGCAAAUGGCAGUGGGAGGAUCUGGGUGUCAGGAGGUUUGAGAAAGAUAAAGGGGCUGGCUCUGCUUUGAGGAACCCCAUCACGGGGGUGAGGGCGGGUAGGUACAGGAGUUGCUGGGGGAGGUGCUGUGAGCUCUGGGAGGCUGGAGAGAAGUAGGUGGCUGGGUCACCUCUUUCUACCAGAGGGAAGAGAGCAGGCCCGCUGAGCCUGUCUCCCCCAGAUCACCCAUGAGCCCCCCAAAAGCCUGGGGCUGCCCUGACUCAGCUUUUUCUCCUACCUGAGCCAGAGAGGUGAGUUUUAGGUGGGGAAAGGUGGGAAUCUCCACCUCUGGAGCCCCCAGCAGCCUAGCAGGUCUGCAGAAAGGGCCUGCCCCUGCCCAGAAAGGUCUGCCUACUUCUGUUCACCUUCAAGACAACCGGCAACAGAGAACUCUCUCACCAGGCACUGCUGUCAUUUUAUUUUUGUCUGAGUAAAGGUGACGGAUUUAAGGCCUCAGCAAAAUGCCAGCUCCCCAAACUAGUCCUAUUCUGGAGGAAAUGACCAAAGAAUUUGCCCUAGAUUUCCGCCCAGACUCAGAGAAGCCCCAGAUGCCAGAGCUGGGCAGGGACAGUGAGGCUUGGCAGGAGAAGUGCCACCGGAGUGGAUUCAAUGGCUCUUCCUCAGUGCACACUACCUUCCGGGCGUGGAGGGUGGUCAGCCAGCCAGCCAUGCCUGGACACUUGCAGGGAUGGGCUGCCCUGCCCUCCUCCAGCAGCCAGCUCCAUUUCUGUAUGGUUUUGAGUGGUUUCCAGUCCUUCUCUCAUCUGAGACAGUCUCCUUCCCUAUAAGUUCCCUGUUUGAUUCAAAGCCUGCCCGGGGCCUAUAGCACACUGGUGCUCCUCCUGUCCUGUGUCAGGUGCAGAGACAUGGCCCCACAGAGCCCACAUUGCCUUUACCUGGAGAGCCCUUGGCCACACCGGUGGUGGCACUUGGUGUGUUGAUUGUUUACUCUGGAGCCCAUUUUACAGGUGGCAAUAGUUGGGACAGAGGGACUAGCCUGGGGUCAGCCAGUGACAACGCUGGGGUCAGAACAUUUAUGGUUUCCUGAUUUGCAGCCCAGGAUUCCUUGAGCUGAGACUUGGGCUGCCUCCCUGACUGCUGGGCUAUAGAGAGAAUCUGGGGUGGCAGGGGAGGCCCAUGGUGAUGCCCAGGUGCCCAGUGGUCCCUGCCUUGUGCCUGGGCCAGACCAGAGCUGCCAGGAGACAGGGUCCCUGUCCUCUCCU